CGUGUAGGCGGCCUAUCAAGUCAGAUGUGAAAGCCCUCGGCUUAACCGAGGAAGUGCGUCUGAAACUGAUGGGCUUGAGUGCCGGAGAGGAUGGCGGAAUUCCGCAAGUAGAGGUGAAAUUCGUAGAUAUGCGGAGGAACACCGGUGGCGAAGGCGGCCAUCUGGACGGCAACUGACGCUGAGACGCGAAAGCGUGGGGAGCAAACAGGAUUAGAUACCCUGGUAGUCCACGCCGUAAACGAUGAGAACUAGGUGUCGUGGGUGUUGACCCCCGCGGUGCCGCAGCUAACGCAUUAAGUUCUCCGCCUGGGAAGUACGGCCGCAAGGUUAAA
Molecule: ribosomal RNA, 332 nt
Filed under: uncultured bacterium
Lineage: Bacteria
Description: bacterial SSU rRNA
Rfam family: Bacterial small subunit ribosomal RNA
Source: RNAcentral